GUCCACGCAGUAAACGAUGAUAGCUCGUUGUCGGCGAUACACAGUCGGUGACUUAGAGAAAUCGAUAAGCUAUCCACCUGGGGAGUACGUUCGCAAGAAUGAAACUCAAAAGGAAUUGACGGGGGGCCCGCACAAGCGGAGGAACAUGUGGUUUAAUUCGAUGAUACGCGAGGAACCUUACCCGGGCUUGAAAGUUAGUGACGGACUUGGAAACAGGUCUUCCCUUCGGGGCACGAAACUAGGUGCUGCAUGGUUGUCGU
Molecule: ribosomal RNA, 260 nt
Filed under: uncultured bacterium
Lineage: Bacteria
Description: partial 16S ribosomal RNA
Rfam family: Bacterial small subunit ribosomal RNA
Source: RNAcentral